Molecule: non-coding RNA, 118 nt
Filed under: Ensifer adhaerens
Lineage: Bacteria; Pseudomonadati; Pseudomonadota; Alphaproteobacteria; Hyphomicrobiales; Rhizobiaceae
Description: TPP sequence
Rfam family: TPP riboswitch aptamer (THI element)
About the family: Vitamin B(1) in its active form thiamin pyrophosphate (TPP) is an essential coenzyme that is synthesised by coupling of pyrimidine and thiazole moieties in bacteria. The previously detected thiamin-regulatory element, thi box was extended, resulting in a new, highly conserved RNA secondary structure, the THI element, which is widely distributed in eubacteria and also occurs in some archaea.
Source: RNAcentral
CCCGCUCUAACGGGGUGCCUUCCGACCGCAUGGCGGCCGAAGGCUGAGAGGCGUUGAACGCCAACCCGCGGAACCUGAUCCGGCUCAUACCGGCGGAGGGAUUAGACGCGAUCGGAUC